Molecule: long non-coding RNA, 306 nt
Filed under: Amborella trichopoda
Lineage: Eukaryota; Viridiplantae; Streptophyta; Magnoliopsida; Amborellales; Amborellaceae
Description: long non-coding RNA (ATRI_LNC000125)
Source: RNAcentral
AAAACAUAUAUACAUCUAUUGAUAGGACAAAUUUACAGUGGCGAGGUCUUACAUAGUAAAUAAAGAAAGCUAGCACAACAACAGUAUCUUCCAAGGUUGAUCUUGACUAGCACUCAAAAUGAAUCCGUAGUUAUCCUGAAAAAAUGUUUACCAUAGUUUGAUGAGUUUGGCUACUCAGUAAGUGAUCAUCAUAAUCCGAAAAAUAAUCAUGAUUGAAAGAUAUCAAUAUUUUACAAAAUGAGAUCUAUUAACAGAAAUGCAUCAACAGUUUCACUUUCAAUAAAUGCAUAAUUAAGUAUAAUCCGA